GAUCUCCAAUAACAUUUCUCGUCUGUCAAUAUUAAUAGAAAAAUAAGAAAAGAAUAAAGGUUAUUCUUAAACUAUAGUCAUAAUCCAUAUAAAGUUCCACAAACAAACAAGCACAGGUACCCCUUAGUUUCCUAAACAAACAAGCACAGUUAUUCAAAGUUCUCUUUCUUGUAAAUUAACAAAAGAUAUUUAAUGCCUCAAGAGCCGAGAGCUAACCUAAGAUAUUUAAUGCCUCAAGAGCCGAGAGCUAACCUAAGCCGCAUAGCUAAGUAACACAAAUACAAGGUAAAAUUCUGGGGAUCAUGCACUAUUUGAAAAUAAAUCAGCAAAUCAAGAAAUCAAGAUGGAAAUUUUUAUUUUAAGAAGAAAAACAGAGAAAGUAAAAGGAGUUAUCAAGUAGUAAAUACAUAUAUCAUGAAUAAAUAAGAAACAGUUAAUUAGAAUCAAAAAG
RNAcentral lists this unclassified non-coding RNA (451 nucleotides) under Hevea brasiliensis (rubber tree). The record is from RNAcentral. Lineage: Eukaryota; Viridiplantae; Streptophyta; Magnoliopsida; Malpighiales; Euphorbiaceae.